AGUGAACGCUGGCGGCGUGCUUAACACAUGCAAGUCGAACGAGAACGGAUUAUAGCUUGCUAUAAUUGUCAGCUAAGUGGCGCACAGGUGAGUAAUGUAUAGGUAAUAUGCCUCUUACUAAGGGAUAACAAAUGGAAACGUUUGCUAAUACCUUAUACUCCUUAUUAACAGAAGUUAAUAAGAGAAAGAUUUAUUGGUAAGAGAUUAGCCUGUAUUGUAUCAGUUAGUUGGUGGGGUAAUGGCUUACCAAGACUAUGACACAUAACUGGUUUGAGAGGAUGAUCAGUCACACUGGAACUGAGACACGGUCCAGACUCCUACGGGAGGCAGCAGUGGGGAAUAUUGCACAAUGGACGAAAGUCUGAUGCAGCAACGCCGCGUGGAGGAUGACACAUUUCGGUGCGUAAACUCCUUUUAUAUGAGAAGAUAAUGACGGUAUUAUAUGAAUAAGCACCGGCUAACUCCGUGCCAGCCGCCGCUGUAA
RNAcentral lists this ribosomal RNA (484 nucleotides) under uncultured bacterium. Its description in RNAcentral is "partial 16S ribosomal RNA". It matches the Rfam family "Bacterial small subunit ribosomal RNA", at positions 29 to 523 of the family's 1533-position model. The record is from RNAcentral.